CAACUAUAUAUUAACAAUUAAAUUUUUUUGUUUAAAGAAAAGUUUAAGAACCAAAGUCUUCUGGAGAAGACUGCAGUGGAAACAAGUCAGCAUAAACUCAGUGGGAAGCUAGGAAGCUUGAGGGAAAAACCUGAUCUGGAGUCUUUGCCUUGGGCUGUACUGUCUUGGGCUCACUCCUCCCUCUCUGCUCUCCACCCUGCAGGAGGCUGAGUGCCUCAGGCUUCCUUGGUGGAAGCAAGAGAAAGGAAGCAAAGUGAGGUCUGGGUAUUUGCUUCCCUGACUCCCUUACUCUAAUGUUCUUUCCUCAGCCUCGUUAUUGGCUUUUCCAUAUACUAUCUCAGUCUCAGAGAUAAUCUAUAUCUCUUGGGGCCAAAGGAUAGUAAUAGAACUCUAUGCCAACAUUAUCCUUGUGGUAUCACUAUAUCUGACCCACCGUUUUGAAAAUAGUCACUUUAUUAAACUCUUCUCAAGUUAUUCUAAUUUGAGUGUGCCAUCUGUUUUCUGCUGAGACUCUAUAGAUUAGCCUACUGGCCUGACAAGCCUCUCAGAGGCGAGAAAAUGGAAAGGUGACAUGCAGUGAUGAGAAACAGACUUGUGGAAAGACUGAUAGAAAUACUCUUUUGGAUAGGAGGACAAGGCUAAAGGAGGCAAAAACUGAGGCCACACAGUUCUGAUGAAGCUUUCUUCUGGGAAGAGAAAAACUCAAAAAACACAAUCAAAUGUGGAAAUCACCCUUUUGUCUUUAGAUCAGGUACCAAGGACCACAACAAACGAGUA
Long non-coding RNA from Perognathus longimembris pacificus (Pacific pocket mouse), 777 nucleotides. RefSeq lists it as uncharacterized. Lineage: Eukaryota; Metazoa; Chordata; Mammalia; Rodentia; Heteromyidae. The transcript is spliced from 3 exons. The record is from RefSeq and is a predicted model, not a curated record.